This is a small nucleolar RNA of Mastomys coucha (southern multimammate mouse), 143 nucleotides long. RefSeq annotates it as small nucleolar RNA SNORA48. The record is from RefSeq and is a predicted model, not a curated record. NCBI's taxonomy places the organism in Eukaryota, Metazoa, Chordata, Mammalia, Rodentia, Muridae. The transcript has a single exon.
ACCCCCUGGCAAUAGGCACAGAGAUACCUUGUUGGUGAUGCUGGUUUUGUAUCUGUCAGGGGCAGAACAGACAGCAGUUCUUGUUUAUCCUAGCUUGAUGUCUGGUUCGGUGGCCAAAGCUGUCUUAUGCCUAGGACUCAUAA